UACUGAAAAUGCGAGCCUCUCCAACUUCGCUGUCUCCCCGUUCGACCCGGUCUGCAAUAUGACCAAGACGAAGAAAACCGGCGCUGGCAAAAAUUGCCGCGGCCCCAAACUGGCCCUGUCGCUCUGGUAAUGACCCAUUUGCUUCUAGUUCCUCUACUACCCCAAUAGAUUCGAUUUCGUCCCCAAACCCCUUUCCACUUUUGGGGGCCGGGCCAACACUUUUUCAUGACAGCCCAACUAGGCCAGAAUAAUUUGAUGUUUACAUGGUUUACUUUUGUCCAGAACGCCCUCACAUAUAACUAUUUAUCCGGAUUGUUGCUUUUGCUACUUCAAUUCCAUUCAGCUUCGCCGCCUAGUCAAUAAUAUCCUCUAUAUAACCCAUCAUUCAUAUUCUCAAACUAGGUGAUUUCAUGAAAGCCG
This 420-nucleotide small RNA is filed under the name Histoplasma capsulatum. Its description in RNAcentral is "hypothetical RNA". RNAcentral also lists the same sequence under 1 other name. Lineage: Eukaryota; Fungi; Ascomycota; Eurotiomycetes; Onygenales; Ajellomycetaceae. The record is from RNAcentral.